RNAcentral lists this ribosomal RNA (496 nucleotides) under uncultured bacterium. RNAcentral describes it as "partial 16S ribosomal RNA". It matches the Rfam family "Bacterial small subunit ribosomal RNA", at positions 28 to 507 of the family's 1533-position model. The record is from RNAcentral.
GAUGAACGCUGGCGGCGUGCCUAAUACAUGCAAGUCGAGCGAACAGACGAGGAGCUUGCUCCUCUGACGUUAGCGGCGGACGGGUGAGUAACACGUGGAUAACCUACCUAUAAGACUGGGAUAACUUCGUGAAACAGGAGCUAAUACCGGAUAAUAUAUUGAACCGCAUGGUUCAAUAGUUAAAGACGGUUUUGCUGUCACUUAUAGAUGGAUGCGCGCGGCAUUAGCUAGUUGGUAAGGUAACGGCUUACCAAGGCAACGAUGCGUAGCCGACCGGAAGGGGGGUUCGGCAACCCGGAACUGAGGCCACGGCCCGAAUCCCAACGGAAGGCAGCAGUGGGGAUUCUUCCGCAUUGGGGGAAGGCUGAACGAGGCAACGCGGGUGGGGGGAGGAGGCUCUCCGGUUCGAAAAACCCUGUUAUUAGGAAAAAACAAAUGUGUAUGAAACGAUGCUGGUCUGGAGGGAACCAAAGCAGAAAGCCAGGCCAACUUCCGG